RNAcentral lists this long non-coding RNA (441 nucleotides) under Cricetulus griseus (Chinese hamster). RNAcentral's name for it is "lncRNA (ENSCGRG00015042112.1)". The record is from RNAcentral. Lineage: Eukaryota; Metazoa; Chordata; Mammalia; Rodentia; Cricetidae.
GUCUCGGUUCAGAGCGGGGACCCGGCUGCGACCGCCCACAGGCUAGGCCGGAGGGGGCUGAUGCCGGGGCAUUCCGGCUCCCCUCCGUGAUUUUUCUUGUUAUCUCGGACUGGAGAAGUUUGUCCACCUGAGAAUCAGCUCAGGACCAACCCCUGCUCAAUACAGAAGUUUCCCGAAACAUGCGACCUACACACUUAGUCCACCGAAUGCCUUUCGAUCGUUUGUGUUUCUUCCUCAAGGUUUCUCUGUAUAACAGCUCUGGCUGUCCUGAAAUGCACUACACAGACCAAGCUAGCCUCGAACUCAGUGAUCUGCCCGCGUCUGCCUCCCAGGUGCUGAGACUUACUAAAGGGAAGUUAAGGAUCCAGCUUGGUCUGAACAGAAGCACCUAAGGAAAAGACCCUGCAUGGGCUGUUGGCUAGAAGCACCUAAGGACACGAC